GACGAACGCUGGCGGCGUGCCUAAUACAUGCAAGUAGAACGCUGAAGCUUGGUGCUUGCACCGAGCGGAUGAGUUGCGAACGGGUGAGUAACGCGUAGGUAACCUGCCUGGUAGCGGGGGAUAACUAUUGGAAACGAUAGCUAAUACCGCAUAAAAUAGAUUAUCGCAUGAUAAUUCAUUGAAAGGUGCAAAUGCAUCACUACCAGAUGGACCUGCGUUGUAUUAGCUAGUUGGUGGGGUAACGGCUCACCAAGGCGACGAUACAUAGCCGACCUGAGAGGGUGAUCGGCCACACUGGGACUGAGACACGGCCCAGACUCCUACGGGAGGCAGCAGUAGGGAAUCUUCGGCAAUGGACGGAAGUCUGACCGAGCAACGCCGCGUGAGUGAAGAAGGUUUUCGGAUCGUAAAGCUCUGUUGUAAGAGAAGAACGAGUGUGAGAGUGGAAAGUUCACACUGUGACGGUAUCUUACCAGAAAGGGACGGCUAACUACGUGCCAGCAGCCGCGGUAAUACGUAGGUCCCGAGCGUUGUCCGGAUUUAUUGGGCGUAAAGCGAGCGCAGGCGGUUAGAUAAGUCUGAAGUUAAAGGCUGUGGCUUAACCAUAGUACGCUUUGGAAACUGUUUAACUUGAGUGCAAGAGGGGAGAGUGGAAUUCCAUGUGUAGCGGUGAAAUGCGUAGAUAUAUGGAGGAACACCGGUGGCGAAAGCGGCUCUCUGGCUUGUAACUGACGCUGAGGCUCGAAAGCGUGGGGAGCAAACAGG
Molecule: ribosomal RNA, 765 nt
Filed under: uncultured Streptococcus sp.
Lineage: Bacteria; Bacillati; Bacillota; Bacilli; Lactobacillales; Streptococcaceae
Description: bacterial SSU rRNA
Rfam family: Bacterial small subunit ribosomal RNA
Source: RNAcentral